Long non-coding RNA from Wasmannia auropunctata (little fire ant), 498 nucleotides. RefSeq lists it as uncharacterized. The transcript is spliced from 3 exons. The record is from RefSeq and is a predicted model, not a curated record. NCBI's taxonomy places the organism in Eukaryota, Metazoa, Arthropoda, Insecta, Hymenoptera, Formicidae.
UGUUUAUCGUCGCGUAACUAAUAACUUUGUUUACUGGAGAACGGAGAAAUAAUAAAUCGAUCGUACAUAAAGGAUUCCACAUAAUAAUUGGCCCCAGGGGCACAUGGGCGCUCGUGUUUUAUGGUACUUAUUAAGUUUUAAUGAGACUACUUUUAACGGUACGCCAGCUGCAAUGCAUAGAUCGCAGCUGCGAGGAUUCUUAGACAAAUGUGCGCGACACGUGUUCAAUAUCCGGAUUUGAGCCAAAAGGUUACAGAGAGACUUUAUUCGCGAAUACAUCGACUUUGUGCCCGAAAAAAAUCAUAAACAAACACUUUAGGAUCUGCUUGAGAAGAAGACAUUCGUCAUCCUCUGUGGAACUCCAAAAUGAAUAUCACGUGAUACACAUUCUAUGAUAUAUACGAAAGUAGCGAUACUAUUGUCGAAUUUUGGAUGACCAUGCUUAUUUCAUUCAAGCCACGUUGAAGACAUCUCGUGUUCAUAUCUUCUCACGAUGAU